This 119-nucleotide ribosomal RNA is filed under the name Lupinus angustifolius (narrow-leaved blue lupine). Lineage: Eukaryota; Viridiplantae; Streptophyta; Magnoliopsida; Fabales; Fabaceae. The record is from RNAcentral.
AGGUGUGAUCAUACUAGCAUUAAUGCACCGGAUCCCAUGAGAACUCCACCGUUAAGCGUGCUUGGGCGAUAGUAGUCCUAGGAUGAGUGACCACCUGUGAAGUCCUCGUGUUGCACCUC